CGUCCCUAAUUUGCGGAAGGAACAAUACUCCAUUCAGAACCCAUCUCCUCUUACGGAAGCUUCCUCUUUGGGUUAGAUAGAGGAGGUUUUAUUCCCCUUUAAAAUUUUAGCAGCUCCACUUCUUCUUGCGGUGGGCUCACAGCCACCUCUCCUCUUCGGGUUAGAAGAGGAGAGCUCUCCACCUCUUCCGGACAAUACCUUUGCCUACAUCAACCCUCUCCUUCAUCAAUUUCAAGCAACACUCCAUUGAUUUCGAAAGCAAUUCAUUCUCCUCUUCGGGUUAGAAGAGGAGCAUCCUUCAUCAGGCCGCAUUUCUCCAUCCGGUGAUUCCAGGCAAUAACCCUUUAUUAACCAAUUCAAGAAGUUGUUCCAGCUCAUGAGGAAAAACAAGGAGACAAGGAGUUUUGUAUCAACUUGGAACUGGUUGGUGCGAAUUUUCUUAUAAGUUUCCUGGACAGUAACUGAUCCAAUUCAAGUGCCUGACUUGCGAGGUAAUUUGAUGUUCCAUUUUCUCCAUGAAGUCUAUUCUCAAUUGACUCAAAACUCUUGAAGUGCUCAGGAAUUUGGAAUUCAGAUACUCUGAAAUUCCUGAUGAACAGACAUUGAUGAACAGAAAUCUCAGCCCAAGAAAUGUAGUUGUUGAUGAGGAAGUUCUGAAAUGUUAGAUUGAGUGCCUAACAUCUGGGAUGAUUUAAUCUCCGAAACUAUGAGCCACUGAAGACCAGUAUGGAUUCUGAAGAUCUGAAUUCUGAAGCUUGAAUUGGAUUUUAAAUUUCAGGAAUGCAGAAGUACCUUAAGCAAAACAAAAUCUGCUGCUGAUCAAAUUCUAUGGUUGAAGUGUUUAUGUUUGCUUUCAACAUGCUUUUCUAACAACUCUUGUUGCUCAUUGGCACUCAUCCGGGGCAACGGUUUAUAAAUAUGAUGAACCAUGAACUGAUAGGAGGAUAUUGCUUGUGCUAUUAAGGAAUCAGUUUCAUUUUAAAAAAAAAACUUGUAGAAACUGGCGUGCCAAAUUUGUUUGUGAAUUUCGGAGCAAUGAAAAGUCAAGAGAAGUUGUUCUGAAAUUGCCAUUUGGUGCUCUCUCCUUCAGAGGCCUUUUGUGAUUCGAAAUCUGAAUUUUCCUGGAAUCAUAUUUCUGAAACUAAUCUCUGGAAGCUGUGAAUCUGCUGGAUUGUUGCAAGGUCUGGUUGUAUCUUUAUCUGAACAACAUGAACGAAAUUUCGAGCCAUUCAGGAAGGAGAGUAUUACUGAAAAUGCUUUUACAAUGUACAUUUUGACUAAAAUGUUUAUGA
Long non-coding RNA from Zingiber officinale, 1292 nucleotides. RefSeq lists it as uncharacterized. Lineage: Eukaryota; Viridiplantae; Streptophyta; Magnoliopsida; Zingiberales; Zingiberaceae. The record is from RefSeq and is a predicted model, not a curated record. The transcript is spliced from 2 exons.